Molecule: ribosomal RNA, 101 nt
Filed under: Lactiplantibacillus plantarum
Lineage: Bacteria; Bacillati; Bacillota; Bacilli; Lactobacillales; Lactobacillaceae
Description: Lactobacillus plantarum partial 16S ribosomal RNA
Rfam family: Bacterial small subunit ribosomal RNA
Source: RNAcentral
UUUAGGAACCAGCCGCCUAAGGUGGGACAGAUGAUUAGGGUGAAGUCGUAACAAGGUAGCCGUAGGAGAACCUGCGGCUGGAUCACCUCCUUUCUAAGGAA